Molecule: long non-coding RNA, 568 nt
Organism: Papaver somniferum (opium poppy)
Lineage: Eukaryota; Viridiplantae; Streptophyta; Magnoliopsida; Ranunculales; Papaveraceae
Exons: 3
Source: RefSeq, a predicted model, not a curated record
AAGACAUACUUCGUAUUUUUCUUUGCUCCACCCGUACCUUCUUUUCUCCCCAUUUCUACUGCUGCUUCACCACCACCACAAGCGAGGAAGAAGACUUCCGAAAUGGAAUACAAGGCGGAACCCAUCAUCCAUUUUUGGAUUGAAGGUUCGACCACGGUAUAGAUAUUCCUCCAGAGACUUUACCUUCUCAAGCGCAGCCGCAAGUUCAGUUUUCAAGGAUUUUUCUUUGAGAGGACCCAUGAAUUUUCUCAAAGAAGCAGUUGUCUUUGUUUCUUUUAAUUCACGAUUAAACAACAUGAUGUAUUGAGAAACUUCCUCAUCAACGCUCUGUUCUUCUUCUGAAUCACUGUCAUCUGAAAGAUCAUCCAACUGUUUAUCAAGAGAUUUUUUCUAGUUGAAUGCAGAUUUGGCAGAAGGAGACGAGGAGGAGUUUUUCUCAAAGGUUUCAAAUCUCUGAAGCUUAUCUGAAUAACUCUGAACUGAUGUUGCGUUAUCAGAGAUAGUACUCUUGUCCAUAGAGUCAGAUCGCUACAAACACAGACUUAUGAGGUCUUAAACGUGUUUGCCU